Molecule: ribosomal RNA, 514 nt
Filed under: Prototheca sp. SAG 263-2.2
Lineage: Eukaryota; Viridiplantae; Chlorophyta; Trebouxiophyceae; Chlorellales; Chlorellaceae
Description: partial 23S ribosomal RNA
Rfam family: Bacterial large subunit ribosomal RNA
Source: RNAcentral
UUAAAAAGAAAGGCUUGGUUAAAAAGUAAUCUUUGAAGCCAAAGCGAAGGCAAGUUUUAUUUUGUAAAGAAAUGGAGCGUCGGUCUUUUUUUUUAGACCCGAAGCCGAGUGAUCUACCCAUGACCAGGGUGAAACAUUUCUGAUUGAAAUUGGAGGCCCGAACCGACUAAUGGUGAAAAAUUAGCGGAUGAGUUGUGGGUAGGGGCGAAAAACCAAUCGAACUCGGCACUAGCUGGUUCUCUCCGAAAUGUAUUUAGGUACAGCAAUAAAUAAGAAAAAAAGGGGUAAAGCACUGUUUCAUUUGGGGGCUUCGAAAGUUGUACCUCAGUGUGGCAAACUCUGAAUACUUUAAUUUCUUUUAUUUAUUAGUGAGACAGCGGGGGAUAAGCUCCGUUGUCAAAAGGGGAACAGCCCAGAUCACUAGUUAAGGCCUCUAAAUAAGAAUGAUAGUGAUAAAGGUUGUAGACGUGCUGAAACCGCCGAUAGGUCCGCUCAGAAGCAGCCAUCCUUUAAC